Molecule: RNA transcript, 3101 nt
Organism: Zeugodacus cucurbitae (melon fly)
Lineage: Eukaryota; Metazoa; Arthropoda; Insecta; Diptera; Tephritidae
Gene name: coiled-coil domain-containing protein 22 homolog
Exons: 2
Source: RefSeq, a predicted model, not a curated record
UGUAUCACCUUGUACACAGCUGUCAACGCAUUCAAACGCGGAUUUAUGGAGGUGCUAUAAAUAUUCGGUGUCAAGCGCAUUUUAUCGCAUUCGCAUUUGAUAUGGUUUAACGCAAAAUUUGAUAUGGUUUAUAUUAGUCGCUUAAAAUGACAGUUGAUAGUCAAUGACAGAUAUCGUGUUUAGACGCCCCGAUAGGUGAAACAUGUAUUGUGAUAACAUGUAAAUAUUGGUUAAAAUAUGUUCGGAGUGACAUUGAAAACAUGUUUUUAUAGAAAAUAUGGAAUUUCGCUUCAUUUAUAUUUUCAAUAGAAUGGAGAAAAAACAACGUGCUGCCUAGUAAGAGUCUCUAUCAAUUCUCUUGAAGAAUCAUCGUUGCGCAAGAUAUUUAUCUGGCUUUUCAAAGCCAAUUCCUUCAUUCUUAAAAUUUUCUUGUCGUGAUUCAAUAAAACACGAUCAUUAAUAAAAAUUAUAAGCUAAUAUUAAAGAUUCUAUGAAUUAUAUGAAGAGAAUGGUAAGUUUCUCGUUGCUCAAAAUUUAAGUAAAUAAAUAAAUUUGUGAACUAUCAAUGAAAACGUAUCGAAAACACAUGAUACACAGAAUACAUAUCCGAAAGUAGUAUUCUCUUAACAAACGAUAAUUCAACUAACUCGAUAUCAUAAAUCAAUCGGCAGUUUCUAAUAAAAUACACAAACAGCUGUUAUAUAGUAGUAUAGCAAUUUUGAAGGCAAAUAUUUGUAAAGUUUAUAAAAAUAGCCAUUUUGAAGUAUAAAAUAUAGAGAUACAAAUACUGUUCCAAUGGAAGAAGUUGAUAAAAUUAUUGUUCAGUCACUAAAUCAGAUCGGUUGUGAUAUCAAUUAUAAUUUUACCAUGUCCGAUUUUACUCCAACACUUUUGGUUUAUACAGUAUCAAAAUGCUUACAAAAAAUUCAACUAUCUUCUACAAAUAUACCAGACGCUCUUCCCGAAGGCCUUGCAAUGGCACAGAGAUUCUCCAUAGCUACUACAUUGUCAUCAAUCAUAUCUAACAUUAACUAUCGUGGUGAUAUUGGAUAUCAAACUUUUUUAUAUCCCAAUGAAGUAGAUGUUCGGAAACUAUUAAUGUUUCUUAUUGAAAAAAUUCCCCGCGAUGAAAAAGCAUCUCCUCUCGAAGUUGGAAGUUUGCCAUGUGAUAUAGACAUAUGGCGAAAAAAUAUUAAAGAAACAAUAUUGGAAGAAUUACACAAACCAUGGGCACCGCAAUUCUGUAGAAAUUUAGCGACUUCAAGAAAUUUUAGGUCUACUGGACAGAUAACAUAUUUCAAACCGCAUCACAACCUGGUUUUUGCUGCUGAAAAAUCGUUAACUUUACAAAAAGGGCAAUGUUCGCAGCACAAAACAAUAACAGUUUUUCAACAAACAGCAACCCAAAAAUUCGACCUAAUAAGCACGAUUUUACAUCAAAAUUCUCUCGAUUUAUAUAUAGGCAAUUCAUUUAUCAAUGAUAAUCAACAAAAAGCUACACCAAAACAAAAUCAACUUGUGUCCAGUCUAUCACAACCGGAAAGUUUGGCCUUAAAAAAUGUAAUAGACAAAUCGCCUAUCAGCAUUCUUACAGAAGAGAUCAAUAGUUAUAAAAAUCAAAACACUAACAUUUUAACAACACGAAAAACGUUAACAAAAAGUAUAAAUUCAAUAAAACACAAACAAGAAGUAACACAAAAUGAAUUGGAAAAUAUGCAGGCAGAAGUCAAAAUACAUGAACGCGCUUGUCUUGUCUUAGAUAAUCCAAAAGAAAACACAACUAAAUUGGAAACUCUUAUUCGAAACACUUUAGAGCGUCGAAAAAAUCUAGAUCAGCAGUGGCACGAAUUUCGUAAGCCAAUGUUGAAUACUAUUGAAGACCUAAGGACUGCUAAACAUUUACUAAAAACUAAGAAUGUGAAAGAAUUUCGAGAAACAAUCAAACAAUUAGAGAAGGUGUUGGAAGAAAAGAAGACUCAACAAAACCAAUUCGCUAUAGAGCUGAGAGUUAAUGGAAAUGAUCGGGCAGCUUCUCGUAAAGAAUAUAUAAAUAGAAUAUUGGAGUUUAUUUCCAAUAUACGUAAGCAAAAAACCGAUAUAUACAAGGUUCUAGAUGACACUCGGGAUUUGCAGAAACAGCUAAACUCUUUAUCUGCCCAACUGCAGCGACAAUUUUGUUACACGGAUGAUCUGCUCUUCCAGACUGCCAAACACGAUGUGCACUCAAAAGUCGCUUACAAACUUCUUGCCACAUUACAUUCCACUUGCAAUGAACUUGUUGAACUCGUUACAAAGACAGGAAAUGUAACUAAUAUAUCACGGGAAAUAGAAGUUCAGAUAGAUCGAGAAAAAACUAAAAAUGUUACUGCCCGUUUACAACAAAUAACAGAAGACAUACACAAUUUUGGUAGUUUAAUUCACAACCUGCGGACAGAAAUACACGAGAUAGAGAAUGAAAUUUCGAAAGCUUGAAUAAUAAAGUGAAACUAUAUAUGUAUAAAAAAUCUAAUUUAAUAUAAAUUAUAUUGGAUGUUAUAUUAUUUUCGAAAAUGUAUUCAUAGACUUAAAAUAAUGGGUAUAUUCCAAUCGCUAGAAAUACACCUUCCUUAAUAUUGGUAUUUAAUUACAAUAGUUUUAAUUUUCAUUACAAAUCUGAUAUUUUGUGGAUCGCAAGUAGAUUAUUUAUUAUUACUAUAUGCACAUUAAAAGAUUUAAAUAAACAAAUAUAUUUCUUUAUUGUUGUUGUACAAGGGUACAUGCUUUUGAAAAUACAAAUUCAUGCUUAUAGAAAGAAGUACAUUUAUUGUUUAUUGCAAUAGCAUAUCCUACUCUUAAAGAAUAUUCCAAUAAUAAUUAAACGGGAUUAGAUAUAAUAUCGUUAAAAAUCAUUGACACCUACAUUUCACUCAUGUCCUAUGUAUGUACAUACUUGUAUGUACAACUGAAAAGCUAAGACCGCCCCUAUUAAUUAUACAUUUAUUUUAUAUUAAAGGCCAACGAAUAUUUUUUUUCCAAAUCAAAUAAAACAUAGUGCAUUGUAAAAAAUGAAAAGACUUUUAAAAGUGACCACUUUCCAAAUACUUUUUGAAGCUUUCAUUACA